This is an RNA transcript of Capsicum annuum, 1425 nucleotides long. It is a transcript of the gene named guanine nucleotide exchange factor SPIKE 1, with no coding region annotated. The transcript has 6 exons. The record is from RefSeq and is a predicted model, not a curated record. NCBI's taxonomy places the organism in Eukaryota, Viridiplantae, Streptophyta, Magnoliopsida, Solanales, Solanaceae.
AUGAUUAAAAAAUUAAAGCAUUCUAUCUUCUCGCUUAAACAUACCGAAGAUUUCUCUGUACAAUUAAAAAAAUUUGCCCUAAUUUACAUCUCUCAAUUUUCUCCUCGCUGUUGUGUGUGCAAUUCCCUCCUCAUUGUGUGAAAUUUGAUAUUAGCUCUAGCAUUCACGUGCGCAAACUUGAUACUCGAUUCCCUUCGGAAACCUGUUGAUGGCAUGCUUGUUGAUAGUAGUUCUCGUAGUGUGAUAGGGGAUGGACCUUCAUCCCCAAAAUAUUCUGACAGACUUUCACCUGCAAUCAACCACUAUAUGUCUGAGGCAACAAGACAAGAAGUUAGAGGAACUCCGGAUAAUGGUUAUUUGUGACAGAGGGUCAACUCCCAGUUAAGCUCGCUUAGUCAGCCAUAUUCUUUGAAAGAAGCCCUAGCUCAAGCCAGUCCUCUAGAAUUGGAGCUUCAGCAUUAGCAUUAAGGGAAACGUUGCACCCAAUCUUAUGGCUAAAGCUGGAACUUUGGGAAGAGAACCUGAGUGCUGUUGUUAGUAUUCCAGUUUUAGAAGUUUCUGAGAAGUUCUGACGGACUAUCGUAACGAAGCAUAUUGCUACUGAUUAUGGGAAAGUUGACCAUAUCACAUCCAUAUUUAUGAAUACGGGAAGAUUAAGAGUCAUGCUAACCAUUUCAUUGUCAGAGUUAAUGUCUGAAGUUCGAGUAACACAAACGAAACCUGAUUAAACACUAGAAGAAAGUGGUGAAGCUCGUCAUCUUCGAAAUUCUUUAGAGGAAAUGGAAAAUGAGGCUAAGAGUUCAUCCUUAUUAGUAGUGUCUGGGCUCCUAGGAAAUGCAGUGGUUACUAUUCACGAAGGAUUAGUAGAAAACCUCUGGUCCUGGUCUGAGGUGAAAUUUCUUUCUGAGAGUCUUCUUAUGGCUCUUGAUGCCAGCCUGGAACAUGCACUACUGGGCUCUGUCAUGAAUGUCGACAGAUAUGCAGCUGCCGAGAGAGCUUUUAUAAACUAGCGAUGGCAUUUUCUCCUGUUCUAGAUCUUAACAUAAUGUGGUUACUGUAUCUUUGUGAAGCUUACUAGGAAAUGCAGCCUUGGGCAGAAGCUGCUCAAUGCACUGUUGUUGUUGCUGGUUUAGUGAUACAUGUAACUUCGAUUUGAUAGCCUUCCCGUUUCUUGUAGUGGUGUUUGAAGGUGGAAGUUAGUAAUCGUACUUUACCAAGAAAAAUUAUCUUUUGUUAUUUGUUUCCAAGUUAGUGAGGGAAAUCCUUAUUUGUUUCCUAGUUAAUUAGGAUUCAUAUAUUUUUUCUUUAUGACUACGACUGAUCAUCAAAUUUUCAUAAAGAUCAGCAUCUAGACUUGGAUUUACGGUUUUGUAUGGUAGGUACUCUUUUAUGUUAAAGCAUUUAAUUCAUUCCGCAGUUACUUGA